This 225-nucleotide long non-coding RNA is filed under the name Chinchilla lanigera (long-tailed chinchilla). RNAcentral describes it as "lncRNA (ENSCLAG00000027288.1)". Lineage: Eukaryota; Metazoa; Chordata; Mammalia; Rodentia; Chinchillidae. The record is from RNAcentral.
CAGCUCAGUGGUAGGCUGCUUACGUCUCAUGUGCAAGGCCCUGGGUUCAAUCCCUAGAACAGGAAAGCAGGAAUGUUGAGAGCUGUCUCCUAUUCCAGCACCCCAUCAGGCAUGCCAGGAAGAAGAGACAGUCAAAACUUGGUGCAUCUGUGAGCAUCCUUAUGAUUUACAGGCUGAAGGUGAAGGGAGCUGUGGAAGACGGUGGCUACUGUCCGGAGGGCUGGC